RNAcentral lists this ribosomal RNA (400 nucleotides) under uncultured bacterium. Its description in RNAcentral is "bacterial SSU rRNA". It matches the Rfam family "Bacterial small subunit ribosomal RNA", at positions 355 to 752 of the family's 1533-position model. The record is from RNAcentral.
UGAGGAAUAUUGGUCAAUGGACGAGAGUCUGAACCAGCCAUGCCGCGUGCAGGAAGAAUGCUCUAUGAGUUGUAAACUGCUUUUAUACAAGAAUAAUAAGCUCCACGUGUGGGGUGAUGAAUGUAUUGUAUGAAUAAGGACCGGCUAACUCCGUGCCAGCAGCCGCGGUAAUACGGAGGGUCCGAGCGUUAUCCGGAUUUAUUGGGUUUAAAGGGUGCGUAGGCGGGACUUUAAGUUAGUCGUUAAAUAGUGAGGCUCAACCUCGCAGUGGCGAUUAAUACUGGAGACCUAGAGAUUAGAUGCAGAGGGCGGAAUGUGUAGUGUAGCGGUGAAAUGCUUAGAUAUUACACAGAACACCGAUUGCGAAGGCAGCUCUCUAAUCUACAUCUGACGCUCAGGC